RNAcentral lists this ribosomal RNA (459 nucleotides) under uncultured bacterium. RNAcentral describes it as "partial 16S ribosomal RNA". It matches the Rfam family "Bacterial small subunit ribosomal RNA", at positions 338 to 795 of the family's 1533-position model. The record is from RNAcentral.
CCUACGGGAGGCAGCAGUGAGGAAUAUUGGUCAAUGGGCGCGAGCCUGAACCAGCCAAGUCGCGUGAGGGAAGACGGUCCUAUGGAUUGUAAACCUCUUUUGUCGGGGAGCAAAAGACGCCACGCGUGGCGUUCAGAGUGUACCCGCAGACAAAGCAUCGGCCAACUCCGUGCCAGCAGCCGCGGUAAUACGGAGGAUGCGAGCGUUAUCCGGAUUGAUUGGGUUUAAAGGGUGCGCAGGCGGCAGAUCAAGUCAGCGGUAAAAUUGAGAGGCUCAACCUCUUCGAGCCGUUGAAACUGGUUGUCGUGAGUGAGCGAGAAGUAUGCGGAAUGCGUGGUGUAGCGGUGAAAUGCAUAGAUAGCACGCAGAACUCCGAUUGCGAAGGCAGCAUACCGGCGCUCAACUGACGCUCAUGCACGAAAGUGUGGGUAUCGAACAGGAUUAGAUACCCUUGUAGUC